AUUCCUCUCCUCGCGCUCUCCCUUGUCGCCACCCGCCAUGCCCACAACUCCGCGAGAACGCCCUGGCUGCUCUCCCCACGCUUGCCCACGCCGCAUCCUCUCCCUCCCCGGCGCCCCUACGUCGCGGCUCGCGGUGGCUCCCGCUGCCGCGCUCGCCACACGGAGUAGCGAGGGUGCUACUUACCACCUUACCGGCGUUGGAGACCGAGGUGGCGGCUUUGCCGGACAAGGGUGAUCCUCCGCGGGCGUCGCCGCCGCAAAGCAGAUGGACGCAGAGAGGAUGAAUGCCCUGGAACAGAUGUUCAAGCGACUGGCCCUCGCCGACGACACGCGCCUGAAGCCGGUGCUCGCCCACAUCCCUCCCCUGCAUCCUCACUUCGCUUACGUGUUCUGAUUAUCUGUAUGACGGCACAUCAAGUAGCACAUCAAGUAGGCCCCUUCUGUUCCAUCUCCCCAUCCACAUCUUCACUUUCGUGAUGUAGCAUAGAGGUCAGCACGCAUGCGGCUAGCUCCAAGAGGAUUGCAUCAGUUGGAGCUUCUUGUGUAUCGCAGUUCUCCACUUCGCAGCUCGCACUAACAUUGUCAUCUCUUGCGUCAUCGCGCAAACACCGUGUCCGUCGGUGCUGCCUUCCUAUAGCUUUUUGAUUCCCCGCCUCCCCCAUUCUUCUGCAAUACUCAUGUCCACGCCCACAUCCAUCUGCUCGCGCUGCUCUACUUAGCGCGGAUGCACUAUUGCGGUGUACGACCUUCACCACAGGGAUCUUAUCCCUGAUAUCCAUUAACGGUUAUGGGAAGAAAGGUUGGCUGGUGUGGACCAUGCACACAAGUUGCUCGAUCGAAUGUCCAACUGAUUUUUUGGGUUAUCACAUUCACAUAGCUUGCUUGCUGCAAACGACACUGUAACAAAUUUGUUUAGAUUGUAAAGCAGAGUAGGCUCAUGUGGAACCAUGUUGAUCGAAUAUCCCAAUAUUUUUUUGGCUAACAUAUUUGCAUAGCUAUACUGCAGGUCUGCAGCACAUCUAUUUAAAUUGUAAAGCAAGAUUGACUCAUAUGGGCCCUACGCGAAACUUGCUCGAUCGAAUACCCCAAAAGAUAAUUUUUAGCUAACACAUUUUCAUGGCUUGCUUAUUCAAUCCUCAUUACUACACCAGCCAUCCUUCCUAAUGUAUAUACCUUCACAUAUAUAUAUUAAAUGUUGCAGAUACAUAGUAACUCUAAUUGUGUUUUUGCAGCUCGCUAAUCGACCUCAUUUAGGAGUCAAUUUAUGAACCAAACGGCACCUUACUUCUUGGAAUUUUUAGGAGUCAAUUUAUACAGCCUGCAACUUCUAUCCAAAAACAGGUAUGCUUUACUAAUAAACCUAAUUUAACAUGCUUCUUCUCCAUAUUCUUCAACAAAUUACACAACUUAUGAAUUUUAUGCUUCUUCUCCAUAUUCUUCAACAAAUUACACAGCUUCUGAAUUUUUCGCCUGCGAUGCUUACCUGGAGAAAUGCACAAUCACCAUGUUUAUGUGGUUGGAAGACAGACCUUGGUCCAUUAUGAGUAGCAGUCCGAAAUGAUUUGUUUGGUAAAUACUUGGCCUUCAGAAUGGUGGGGAGGGAGAAUUUUUUGUUUGUUGCAAUGUUCUAAUCAGCUUAGGUGAUGAGGCUUUUGUUGAUAGUGUAAAGAUCUCUGGUGCCCAGACUCCCAUUCUGUUUCAACUGGCAGACGACUUCCUAAGAUCUGAAAACAAUAGAAGUAGGAUUGUAUUGCUAAACACCUUAGAAUUGAUCAUUUCGAUAUAUAAUCUACCUCUGGUUUUUAUGCAUGGCCACCGAAAGAGUUGCCACUCUUUAUCCUGAGAUCAAUAUCAUGUCUUCGUCGCCUGUUAAUCCAUUGCCAAUUCAAUGCUACAUUCACAUUUAAGCUAUCCUUAUUACUUUUGUCUUCUAUUUAGUGUUGUAUUACACAUGCCCUUUUGGUGAGCCUUAAAAUAAUAUAACAUGAUUUUGAGCAUUGCAGUUAAUGUCAUACUUUUUAUGAAAACUUACUCUAACUGCUUUAGACACUAGCUUGAUCUUAAUUUUACUAUGGAACAAGGCAUUCAUAGAUCAAUGGUGUCCUCUACAAUUUUAUUUGGAGACCCUAUUCUAUUUUGGUGGAUGGUAACUUGAUAUGCUCAUUGCAGGUUGCUCAAUUUGGUAAAGAGAAGACCGUUUUACGCACUGAGGUUGAUCGCGGUUUCACGUUUUAUGCACUGAGGUUGAUCGCGGUUUCACUGCAGAAAUAUUUAGCAUGCAUCCUAUGUCAUUUUGUCAGCUUUGUGACAAAGGUAGGUAAGUAAGCUUUGGACUAUACUGCAUGCCUUGCUUUCCUGUUGCAUGCGCACAACAACCAAGUGCUCAGAUGGCUGGAUCUGAAUGAAUGGCGUCCGACAGAAUUGGAUUCUUUCAUUUUUUUUCCAUUUGGUGCUGCCAGUCGGAUCUUAGUUUAAGCUAGGAUUAAUAUUUCAUUUUAUUUUCCCCAUUUGAUACAUGUGUUGCUCCUUUCUGGUGGCUGGCUCGGCCUGGCGCUGCACAACUGUGCCGGUAUGCAUAAUCAAGGCCGAUACUAUGAGUCCAGCAUGUUGUAGCAGUACACGGACCCACAAUCCACGAGGAGAUGCAAUGCAGCAGUAUCUCCUUUCUGUUGCUCCCCACCUCCCCACCUCCACUCCCACUGAGCUUUCUAAUUGUGCAGUCCAACUCUUAGGUAAGUUUAGAGAUAAUGUUUUAAUUUCCAUAGAAAUUAUGAUCGUAUGUUGCUGUUGCAUCAUCUAUUAAUGUUUAUAUUCUAAUUGUCGAAUACAUAUCAAGUUGCAUGGUAAAAUAUGUACGUUCAUAUUUGUAUUUAGGUCAACUCAAUUAGUUAUAUGUACUCUACUAGCUUGGUCCUCCCAUCUGUUCAUACAUCUGUUCAUUGACCACCUUCUUUUCAAUCUUUGGUGGCAGCCUGUACUCUACUAGCUUGGUCCUCCCAUCAACCAUGUUAAUUCCCAGGCGCCUCUUGGGAGGUGGGGUUGGGAGCUUCUUAUGGUUUGCAUUGGAUGGAUGAAGCAACACUAACUCCUCUUCCCGGUUGGUGGCGUCAUGUAUUCUGCUACUUUAAACCAUAUCACAUUGACGCAUCCCCUACCACCAUUCUUAUAUGUCAAAAACAGGAAUUCGCCUCCAUACAUAUUAAAUUUAUAGUCUAGAUUUUUACUCUGUAGACGACUUAAUCAUAUGUGGACUAUUAAUAAUGCUGUGUGAUGGCGAUUGUUUAAUAACCCGUAUUGUUGUGCAUGAGAAGUUAUAAUUUUCCAAAAUGUUCGUUUGCAUGCAGAGUAGUGCCUCUUAUCAAUUUUGUAAUUUACAAUUAGGUAAUUCUUUAGUAUUUCUUAAAUAAAAAACGCCUUAUGGGUUACAUAUUGCAG
RNAcentral lists this long non-coding RNA (3435 nucleotides) under Zea mays. RNAcentral describes it as "long non-coding RNA (ZMAY_LNC002613)". The record is from RNAcentral. Lineage: Eukaryota; Viridiplantae; Streptophyta; Magnoliopsida; Poales; Poaceae.